Molecule: transfer RNA, 68 nt
Filed under: Oxylipeurus chiniri
Lineage: Eukaryota; Metazoa; Arthropoda; Insecta; Psocodea; Philopteridae
Description: tRNA-Trp
Source: RNAcentral
AAAACAAUAGGUUAAUUUCUCCAAACCUUUGCCGUUCAAAGGCAUAAAUGACUUAAAGUCUUGUUUUA